RNAcentral lists this ribosomal RNA (479 nucleotides) under uncultured bacterium. RNAcentral's name for it is "partial 16S ribosomal RNA". It matches the Rfam family "Bacterial small subunit ribosomal RNA", at positions 28 to 507 of the family's 1533-position model. The record is from RNAcentral.
GACGAACGCUGGCGGCGUGCUUAACACAUGCAAGUCGAACGAAGCUUGAUUACGGAUUCUUCGGAUGAAGUAUGAUAUGACUGAGUGGCGGACGGGUGAUUAACGCGUGAGUAACCUGCCCUUCAGAGGGGGAUAGCGUUUGGAAACGAACGGUAAUACCGCAUAAUGUAUUUUGACCGCAUGAUCGAAAUACCAAAGAUUUAUUGCUGAAAGAUGGACUCGCGUCUGAUUAGGUAGUUGGUGCGGUAACGGCCUACCAAGCCGACGAUCAGUAGCCGGACUGAGAGGUUGAUCGGCCACAUUGGGACGGAGACACGGCCCAGACUCCUUCGGGAGGCAGCAGUGGGGAAUAUUGCACAAUGGGCGCAAGCCUGAUGCAGCAACGGCUCGUGAAGGAAGACGGUUUUCGGAUUGUAAACUUCUGUUCUUAGUGAAGAAUAAUGACGGUAGCUAAGGAGCAAGCCACGGCUAACUACGUG